GCUGAGUGGAUCUGUCUAUUUCAUAUAUUUGAUUAUUGAAUGUUUCUGAUUAUAUCAUGCAUUUGAUUGAUAAUUGGUUCUUACCAGCGACUUUAUGUAUUUGAUCAGUGGUCCAAAUUUCAAUAGUACAAUUUUGAAGUCACCACAGAUAACUUGACACGUGGAAAAACUUGAAGGUUGGCGUCGGGGGAGUAUAUAAAUGGUCAUUUGUCACUCUGUGUGCAAACCCUUAAGAAACAAACAUUUAUAUGGAAGGUGAAGAAGGCUCCUCCAAUGUUACUCAAUUUCCAGCAGAUUCAAUGUGUAUUCUACCACCAGAAAUCAUCACUGAAAUCCUCUCAAGGCUUCCUGUAAAAUCUCUGUUGAAAUUCAGGUCUGUUUCGAAAUCUUGGCUUGCUUUAAUAUGUAGCCCUGAAUUUAUCAACACCCAUCUCAGUUUAUCAACCAAUGAGGAAGAGACGCUCCAUUUGAUUAUUUUGAAUGAUCUUGAGUUUGGAGAUAAGUGGUGUUUCAAAGGAUGUCCUGUUGCAUCUUUAUUUAAUAACUCUGUUACUGAGGCUGUUGACUUGGGUUAUCCCAUUGAAGACGACAGUUAUGAUCUCCAUAUUGUGGGAUCUUGCAAUGAGUUGAUUUUACUUUGGUUCUAUGGAAUCCAACAAUUAGAAAACACAAGAAUUUGCCUGAAUUUAGACCUAGGUGGGAAGGACCAAAUUACGAUCCCGUAUAUGGUUUGGGGUAUGAUGAGCUCCAUCGUGAUUAUAAGGUAGUGGGUAUUUUUUUAUCAUUAUACUGCUAAUGAUAGAGUAGAUGACGUUGAGAUCAAAGUAUGAGUGAUUGUUGGAAUAGUGUUGAGUAUUGUGGGGAGUCAUUCGUUAUCAAAAACAAUGAUGGCUCUUAUGAGGACAUUUUGAUUUUUUCAGGCUUGCUUGUGGAUGGGAAGCUUCAUUGGAAUAUGGUCACGAAUAAGAAUAUUCUUUCCUUUGAUAUAGCUAAUGAGAAAUGGGAUAACGUGGAGAAACCCUCCUCUUAUGGAGUAGGAGAGACCGAAUCGUUUGUGUGGAAGUUGGGUAGUAAUCUUUGUGUCUAUACUGAUUACAAGGAAACUCAAUUUUGCAUUUGGGUAAUGAAGGAGUAUGGGGUUAAACAAUCUUGGAUAAAGAAGUAUACCAUCAGGUAUCCAAACGAUAAAAAAUAUUUUUCGCCUCUUUUCGUGUCAAAUAAAGGUGAAAUGUUGUUCUUGAUUCAAUCAGAGUUCAUGAUAUACAAUUCAAAAGAUGACUCACUUAGAUAUACAAAUGUUACUAACCGUGAAAGUAAUCAUGAAUUGCAAAUCUACAUUGAAACCCUAGUUUGUCCUUUUUCAACUGAAGGGACAGAUAAUGCUGCAAAAGAAAGCGGGGAAAAGCUUAUAUCAAAACAAUCGAGUAACAAAUAGCUUACCAUGCACGAGCACAGCCCUUCAUUUGGUGCUUCUACAUCUCCUGCGUUUCUACUUAGUCAUCUGAGGUGUGAUAUGUUGGUGAGGCGCUUUGUUAGUUAUUACUUAUGUACUAAUGAACUUCUAGAAGUGAAAGCUAAUGUUACAAACAACUAUUCCUAUCCCAUGAUGUUGUUCUGCUCAAGAAGUUGUUAUAUUUUGUGGAUUGGAAGUUAUAUGCUAUCUACUAAUAUUUAAUGAA
Capsicum annuum is the source of this 1679-nucleotide RNA transcript. It is a transcript of the gene named putative F-box protein At2g02030, with no coding region annotated. Lineage: Eukaryota; Viridiplantae; Streptophyta; Magnoliopsida; Solanales; Solanaceae. The record is from RefSeq and is a predicted model, not a curated record. The transcript has 2 exons.